Myotis daubentonii (Daubenton's bat) is the source of this 128-nucleotide small nucleolar RNA. RefSeq annotates it as small nucleolar RNA SNORA81. The record is from RefSeq and is a predicted model, not a curated record. NCBI's taxonomy places the organism in Eukaryota, Metazoa, Chordata, Mammalia, Chiroptera, Vespertilionidae.
GACUCCUAAAAACCCCUGUCUGCAGAGUACACACAAGAAGAAAAGUAACUGCUCUAGAUGAUAAAGACUGGGGUGGACCUCUUUCUUAAUGUCCAGUGUCCUUUGUCUUAAAAUUUGGUGCAACAUGU